UUCAGAAGAGCCAGGAAAUAGAACACAGAAUUUCUGUGUCCACUAAAACCCAGUUCCUCUACAUCCAAGGAUAAAGGUACAGAACAUAUGGACAAGAACUCAGCAGGAUAAGAAUGUGGUUGGGUGCCCUGGUAGUAGGUGCACACAAAGCCAGUGGCAACUUCUGGUCACUGCUGAUCUUGCAAGCACAAUAACACGGCUAUAGCAAAAGCUGUUUUUUUUCACUCCUCCUUUCCCAUUGGUGCCCCGGGUAGUUACCCCUCUCACUUCACCUUAUGCCACUAAAUGAACUACCAUUGAGAGUGAAGAUCUCCAGAAAGAGAAAGGUAUAGAAGGAAAUCGAGUUAGGCUAUCCAUAAAGGAGAAAAGAGAAAGAGGAAGAAGGACCAACGUGUUAGAGAGCGUUUGGGUAAAAAUAAAACUGGUGCAGGGGGUUGUGUAAAAAGGAAGAGGAAGGCAAAAAAGCUUAUGCCGGAAAACAGGAGAGAGAGAAAACAGAAUAGAUGGGAGGGAGAGAUUGAAUUUAAAAAAACAAAGAAAGAAAGAAUUUAAUUUAUUCCCCAAAGAUCAAGACAUCACAAUAAAGUGGCUUAAAUUCCUAAAUACUUUUUCAACAUGUCAUUUUCAUAUUAAACAGUUAUUGCAGUUGUCAUGAGUUGUCUCCUUUAGGAGGAGGUAUACUUUGAUGCUAUUCUUUUAUUUACAACAGAUAUACACAAAGUUCUGCUUCCCUGAACAUAGUAGGAUCUAACAAUAGGGAAUAAUUUAUUUACUAACUGGUCCAAGCCCCUUUCCUGUCAGCAGUGUACUCCAAAGCUUUCUCUUGUUCAUUUUUUUCAAGGUAAUAUUACAAGUGUUUUCCAGGCUGUCCCUGGGGCUUCUUCAUUGUCUUCAGUGUGACGUCUCUUCUGCUUUUCUGCCACAUACGUUCAGAGCUCUCUCAAGCAAGAUUCAGUCUCUUGUGUUUGCAUUCAAACUCUUGAGUCCAUAUAGCUCAGAUUGCUUACCAGCCUUGCCUGUGGCUUGUUGGCUUGUUUUCAGCAUGACUCUCUGUUCUACAAAGGAACUAAACUGCUUUUACAGCCACUGCUGCAUCUUGAUCUAGCCCAUAAGGAACCCCACAGUCUGAAUUCAGCAAGGACCAGAUCCUGUCUGAGAAGGUGCUGUGCUCACAGACCAUCAAAGUAUGUCACGCCUGUGUCUUCCCUGCCCACCCUGAUGCAAUUUGGAGUUGUCACCUAGUGGCAGCAACACAAGAGCAAGCCCUCCUGGCCUGGUACACUGUGUACAAGCUACCUAUCACCAAGAGAACUGGCAACUUCCAGUGGCAGCUACUGCAUGGGGCUCUGGCCACAGGCACUUUUUAGACCUGGCAAUGCUAGUGGCCUGCCCUUUCUGCAAGAAGGAUGUGGAAGAAACUGUCUUUCAUACCUUCCUGGAUUGCCCCCGGCUGCAGCUGCUCUUUACUGCUCUCAGCACCUUCUUUGGCAUGCUGGACUUGGACUUCUCUGAGACUGUGUACGUCUUCCCUAUUCUGUAAUUAGCAGCUAAGUGGUUCAUGCUUGGCCCCUGGGAGGUUGAAAUACU
Molecule: long non-coding RNA, 1587 nt
Organism: Alligator sinensis (Chinese alligator)
Lineage: Eukaryota; Metazoa; Chordata; Crocodylia; Alligatoridae
Exons: 3
Source: RefSeq, a predicted model, not a curated record